UGGGGGAUAUUGCACAAUGGGGGGAAACCCUGAUGCAGCGACGCCGCGUGAGGGAAGACGGUCCUCUGGAUUGUAAACCUCUGUCUUCGGGGACGAAACGAGACGGUACCCGAGGAGGAAGCCCCGGCUAACUACGUGCCAGCAGCCGCGGUAAUACGUAGGGGGCAAGCGUUAUCCGGAUUUACUGGGUGUAAAGGGAGCGUAGACGGCAAUGCAAGUCUGAAGUGAAAGGACGGGGCUUAACCCUGUGACUGCUUUGGAAACUGUGUAGCUUGAGUGCCGGAGGGGUAAGCGGAAUUCCUAGUGUAGCGGUGAAAUGCGUAGAUAUUAGGAGGAACACCAGUGGCGAAGGCGGCUUACUGGACGGUAACUGACGUUGAGGCUCGAAAGCGUGGGGAGCAAACAGGAUUAGAUACCCUGGUAGU
RNAcentral lists this ribosomal RNA (425 nucleotides) under uncultured Blautia sp. RNAcentral describes it as "bacterial SSU rRNA". It matches the Rfam family "Bacterial small subunit ribosomal RNA", at positions 355 to 794 of the family's 1533-position model. The record is from RNAcentral. Lineage: Bacteria; Bacillati; Bacillota; Clostridia; Lachnospirales; Lachnospiraceae.